RNAcentral lists this small nuclear RNA (87 nucleotides) under Cricetulus griseus (Chinese hamster). Lineage: Eukaryota; Metazoa; Chordata; Mammalia; Rodentia; Cricetidae. The record is from RNAcentral.
GAAUUUGCAUGUCAUCCUUGUGCAGGGGCCAUGCUAAUCUUCUCUGUAUUGUUCCACUUUUAGUAUAUGUGCUGCUGAAGCGAGCAC